RNAcentral lists this microRNA precursor (73 nucleotides) under Aphelocoma coerulescens (scrub jay). RNAcentral describes it as "mir-1744 microRNA precursor family". It matches the Rfam family "mir-1744 microRNA precursor family". The record is from Rfam by way of RNAcentral. Lineage: Eukaryota; Metazoa; Chordata; Aves; Passeriformes; Corvidae. RNAcentral also lists the same sequence under 2 other names.
GACACCCAGUGCUCCUCUGUUGAACUCAAGAGCAGAAACUGUGUUGACUUCAACAGGAGCAAGACUCAGCCCU